Molecule: ribosomal RNA, 497 nt
Filed under: uncultured bacterium
Lineage: Bacteria
Description: partial 16S ribosomal RNA
Rfam family: Bacterial small subunit ribosomal RNA
Source: RNAcentral
GAUGAACGCUGGCGGCGUGCCUAAUACAUGCAAGUCGAGCGAACGGACGAGAAGCUUGCUUCUCUGAUGUUAGCGGCGGACGGGUGAGUAACACGUGGAUAACCUACCUAUAAGACUGGGAUAACUUCGGGAAACCGUAGCUAAUACCGGAUAAUAUUUUGAACCGCAUGGUUCAAAAGUGAAAGACGGUCUUGCUGUCACUUAUAGAUGGAUCCGCGCUGCAUUAGCUAGUUGGUAAGGUAACGGCUUACCAAGGCAACGAUGCAUAGCCGACCUGAGAGGGUGAUCGGCCACACUGGAACUGAGACACGGUCCAGGCUCCUACGGGAGGCAGCAGUAGGGAAUCUUCCGCAAUGGGCGAAAGCCUGACGGAGCAACGCCGCGUGAGUGAUGAAGGUCUUCGGAUCGUAGAACUCUGUUAUUAGGGAAGAACAUAUGUGUAAGUAACUGUGCACAUCUUGACGGUACCUAAUCAGAAAGCCACGGCUAACUACGUG